This 5802-nucleotide long non-coding RNA is filed under the name Homo sapiens (human). RNAcentral describes it as "HSALNT0225731". Lineage: Eukaryota; Metazoa; Chordata; Mammalia; Primates; Hominidae. The record is from RNAcentral.
GGGAUGCUGGUGCAGAAGGCCACUUUGGCUUUUGAUGCCUGCCUUGGCUUCGAAGCAACCUUGGGGGCCCUGCAGACAAGCAGAGGGUGGGGUGAGUGUGGUGCCCCUCAGCCCCCCACACCGUUCCCAUCCAGCCUUUGCUGCCCAGCAGGUGCCCAGACCCAUUUAUGAGAAGACUUGGUAGGGGCUAUAAAUGAGAGGAGAAUUGUAGCACAGAGCAUAAAACAUGAGAUGUUUUCCUCCCAUCUUUUAUUUUUUUAAUUUUUUUUUUUUCAGACAGAGUCUCACUCUGUCACCCAGGCUGGAGUGCAGUGGCCCCAUCUCGGCUCCCUGCAACUUCCGCCUCCCAGGUUCAAGCAACUCUCAUGCCUCAGUCUCCCGAGUAGCCAGGAUUACAGGCACAUGCCACCACGCCCAGCUAAUUUUUGUAUUUUUAGUAGAGACGAAGUUUUGCCAUGUUGGCCAGUCUGGUCUCAAACUCCUGGCCUCAAGUGAUCCACCGCCUCGGCCUCCCAAGGUGCUGGGAUUAUAGGCAUGAGUCACCUCGCCUGGCCCCUCCCAUCUUUUAAAAUCACCUGUGACCAUCCUCACUGAGCUGAGGCCCUCAACCCUUAGCUGGCUUGGUGAGCAGGACAUGGGUGAGGAGGAUGGUCAGGGUUGCACUGGAGGCCUCCCUGGCUCGCCUUCCCUGCCCUCAAAGGGGAUGGCGCCCUGCUGGCCAGGUUGUGUCUGCUCCGGGCUGUGGCCCUGUUUCCCUGAGCAGACUCAGGCAGCCCUGGGGCUGCUCUCUGCGGACCAGGCUCUGUGAGGUAGGCCCUCCACGGCAGAGCGCUGGGCCUCUGCUCGGGCUGAGAAAGGACGUAGGGGCCAGCCUUUAAGGUCAGUCAGUGAACCUUCCGGCUCCAGUCCUGACGGGCAUCCGAGGGCAGAGGGAAGCCGGAAGCAGGGCUGCAGGAGGCCACAGGGAUUCCCGGGGCCCUCCCCCUGCAGCAGGUGCCUUAGCCUGCAGGGGCUGGUCUGCAGGAAGACAACAUCCAGCAUAUAUUUCUGACUUAAAGGAUGAAUUAUUUUUAAAUACCUGGGCAAGGAAGAUCUUUUACAACUCGGGUUUCAAAGGAACUUGUCCUUUAUGCAAGUUAUGGGAAGUCAGCAAAACAUUCCAGAGAAGGUUACACAGAACCUUCUAGAACCAGCUUUCUCUUGAGAUUCUGAAUGGAAAGGGAAUGAGAUAGAGAAAGUGUGAGGGACGCCAACUCACGUGGACAGCAUGCCCAUGGCCUGCUGGGUGGCCAGAGUCCUUUUGUCCUGCGGUCCAUAUAAGAGGGUCUGGAUCUGGAGACACUGUAGAACACCAAGCAGCUAUCAUGAGGCUAUGGAAGUGUCGCUGAGAGCAGGAAACUAAGGUCUCCCUUGAAUGAGAGAAAGAUGACCUCAUUCUUAGGCCCUGCUGUGAUGGAAUUAGCAUGCUCCUGGGAUGUCUCCUAGUGACUGACCUUUGGUUUGGAUGUUCUGAGGGAUCUAGGCAAAAGUGAACAGUUUUAGCACUAUUUCACAAAACUCUCUGUGACUAUCUGUAUGCAAAAAAUAGAUUUAAAAGUAGUAUUUUUAAAAAUAAAGGCAAGAACCUUGGUACUGACCAGAGGAUGGGCUCCAGUUUCUAUUUUUAAAUGUGGCCCUUGUUAUAGCCUGGAAAAGAUUUAAAAAAAUAGUUUUGUUUUUUUUGUAAACACAUACUCUACUUUUAUUAAUAUAUAGGCUGUCUAUACUCUUGACUACACAGCAAUGUCUUAGUUAUUAGGAACCAAAUAUUCAGCUUAUGGACUACCCAGGGCUGGCUUUGGCUUGAUUUCUCCCUUCUGCUUACUUUAAGUCUUGCCAUUUGAUUGCUUGUAGUAGGCUAGGGCAAAUCAAGGAGAGGAGAAAGAUUAAAGUUGUGCCCAAAAUGGCCAAAAUAAUUUUGAGAAAGAAUGAGGUGGAGAGGUGGAGGAACUUGCUUUACUGAAUGCCAAAGACCCUUUUAUUUUUUUAAAUAAAGUAAUUAAGACAGCAUGUUUGUCACCCGGGGUAGACAAAAAGACCAGUGGAACAGGGCAGAGAGCCCAAGCCUUGACAGAUGACAGAAAUGGCCUUGCGGGAUUGGUGAGGAAGAGGUGGGCUAGUCAAUAAAUGGGUACUGGGACCGCUGGUUUUCCAAAUGGAAGAAAAUGGAUCACUACCCCAAAUCAAACACAAAUAUUAAGCUCAAGAAAGAUUUGAAGGACUAAGUGUGAAAUGCAAAACUUGGAGCUUUUAGAUGAAAAUACUGGAAAAUAUAUAUAUAUAUAUUUUUUGAUGGAGUCUCACUCUGUCGCCCAGACUGGAGUGCAAGUGGGGUGAUUUUGGCUCACUGCAACCUCCACCUCCUGGGUUCAUGUGAUUUUCCUGCCUCAGCCUCCCGAGUAGCUGAGAUUACAGGUGCCCGCCACCACACUCAGCUAAUUUUUGCAUUUUUAGUAGAGAUGAGGUUUCACCAUGUUGGCCAGGCUGGUCUCAAACUCCUGACUGCAGGUGAUCCACCUGCCUUGGCCUCCCAAAGUGCGGGGAUUAUAGGAGUGAGCCACCAUGCCUGACCGGAAAAUACGAUCUUGAGGUAGGGAAGUAUUUCUUAGACAAGAUCUAGACAAAGCAAAAGUGAAAGACUGAUAAAAUGUAACUAUGUGAAAACCUAAAAUAUUUGUGCACCAAAAUUCACCAUAAGCAAAGUAGAAAGACAAGCCACGCUGAGGAAAGAUUCUUGCAGUGCACAGAAAUGAGAAAGGUUUAACAUUCAGAAUACAUGAAGAAUUCCUAUAAGGUAAUGAGAAAUACCAAACCAAACCAAAACCUCUCAAUAGAAUAACACUCAAAAGAUAUAAACAGAUUAUUCAAAGAGUUGAAAUCUGAUGAAAUAAACAUGCUUAAUCUCAUUAACAACCAGAAAUACAAACUAAAACCUCAAUGAGGGGGAUCUGUGAAAAUGUGCAGCUGUUACUCAGGGCCAUUUUCAUAGCAGCAUCCUGCAGAAGUAGAUUGGUGGUGUCUCCCUUCCUCCCUUAACCUCCUGCCUAAGGUCCCAGAAUUGCAUCAUAACAUCUAUUGAGGAAUUUCAGAUGAUGAAGGUACUGAUGGAACACAUCCUAUUUAUUCAUGGAGACAGUGCAGCAAGGACUGCAACUAGAGGGUCAUUUAAGUUACAAGGCUACGUGACUCCAUAAUAGAAAAUUGAGAAAAGCAUACUAUUCAUUUCUGGUAAGGUUCCAAGCCAGGCUCGUCAAGCUAUUACUUGUAUUUUGUACUUACAUGAAAUGAAAAAGCUAAAGAAAGGUAAAUUUUAAAAAAUUGCUCUAAUGCUGAGGAUCUGAAAUCACUACUCUUCUUUAUACACAUUAUCCAAUGCCAGAUUACGUCCACGGGGGAGAAAUUACUCAGAAACUUGAAAAUUGUGCUUCUGUUUUCAUGUCAAUUCUCAAGGCUGAUACUAAGAGAAAAGGUGACUUCGGAAGCCUUACUACGUGGAAGCGUGAAAUGUGAUAAAUCUUUCAAGAAAUACAAGUACGCUUUCAUUUACCAACCAUUACAAGGCAGGCAGAAAUGACUAACUUGGGGGAAUUGAAGGAAUAAACCAAAACGUAAUUCAUCAGACAGGCUUCCCCUACAGAAACACAGUCAGGGGUAGUGGGUGGUUUUUCUGAGCCACCCAGAUACCAGCCUCAUCCUGGCUGGACCCACGUCUUUGUCCACAUUCGCCACUUCCUGAAGCAGCUGUCUGCUGAACACCAGCAACACGCCAACCCUGUGGCUACUUCGGGGAUGGAGUGGAGAAUGGGCAGAAGUGAGCCUUGCUCUCAGGGGGCUUCUAAUGGAGUAGCGGAGAAAGAUAUUUUUAAAAUACAUAAAUAAACGUGUCAACAACUUGUGAUAAGAGCUACAAAAGAAAAAAGAAGACGACGGGGCUAUGAAUGAAUACCGGAGGGCCUUGGUGGUGGUCGAUCCAGGGUAGCUGGGCCAGCAGAGGCCUAUGUGAGGAGGUGACACUGGAGUGACACCUGAGGACUGGGGAGUCGGCAGGUGAAAAACAAACAGGGCAGGAUGGGGAUGGAGGGAGGUGGUGGGGAUGGGGGGAGGUGGUGGUGGUGGUGGUGGGCUCACAGGGAGAAGGAAUUCCGAGUGUUUGUUUGAGAGACCACACCCCUGCAUCCUCUUUCUCUCAGUCUAUGUCUCUCUCUCUGUCUCUGUCUCUCUCUCUUUCUUUCUCUGUCUGUCCCUCUCACCCAGCCCUGCAGCUCCCUUACUUGAAGGGACACUGAUCCUAUGACCAGAGGACUGAGGCACUGGUGGGUGGGUAGGGAGCCUCUCAUGAGAGAAACACAGGGAAGGUGGGAAGGGAGAUCCUGGGCUUUGCAGGGAAAUGGGAGAUGAAGGAGAAAGGGGGUGAGGUCCAGCCACUGCCACCCGCACAACUCCUCAGAGCGGACUCUUUCAGAAAGCUCGCCCUGAGUAUCUCCUGGGUGCCAGCCCUGGGGGCAUGGAUGUCAUCCUUGCUGUCUCCCUCACUCCUCACCUCCAGGUUGCCAAGUCCCAUGGGUUCUAAUGUCCUUAUCGACAUCCCUUGACUCCCCCACGACUUUGUUCCAUCCCUUGGCUACUGUACUGGAGCAGGUACCACCAUCCUUCUCCACAACGACUGCAAUACAAAUAUUUAGAAAAUAAAUGCAUUGGCAGGACUUGCUAUUGAGAGAAAUCCUGCUGUGUACCCACAUAGAAAUUAUGGUUUCUUUUUCAAGUGGAGCCGGCUUUUUGUAUAAAAGCUGGAUCUGCCUAUUUCUAAGCCAGCCAAGGCAAGGGAUGCAGACUCCUAAAGCUGGGCCUUCUGAGCUGCCUUCUCUUGGCAAAUUUCCCUAUUACAUGCAGCUCAGCGAUCUGGUUUAGUCCUUCCCGAGUCUGUGCUAUCCACACCAGCCAUCCCUGACCAUUGGUCUUUCAACUUGUUUAAAGUUACACUAGAUUUAUGUAAUAGGAGCUUUUGCUUUUCCCUCCAUCCCUGGCCAUGUACCCAUAAACUCACUGUUUCCAGCGAAGCUCCGAAAAACCGCUAGAGAGCCUCAGGCCAGGAUGGUCUGUCCAGACCCACAGUUCUGCACCUCUCCAGACCUUGUGGGACAAUUGAUGACCCUCUGAGGCACUGUACACUCACUAAGCCAUGGUCAGAGUUCUGAUGUUUGAGGAGCUUUUCCACAGCAAAUGUAGCCUUGUCAGUGGGCAGUCUGUGUACACUACAAAUCAAGUGUUUUUCCAAGGGAUAGCAAACAUGGAGGGGCACUGUGCCUGGGUGCCAUAGCUGGGCGGGCCCAACCUCAGGAGGGUGCCUUUUCCCCACAGCUGAUGAUGCCAGGGAGGCCUGUGGUCAGGAGAACUGGAAUUCUUAUUACCACACAGCCUAUAGUGGGCAAGGGGGGCUCCACAUUCAUUCUUGUUUUUUGAGACGGAGUCUCGCUCUGUUUCCCAGGCUGGAGUGCAGCGGUGUGGUCACGGCUCACUGCAACCUCUGCCUCCCAGGUUCAAGCAAUUCUCCUGCCUCAGCCUCCCAAGUAGCUGAGAUUACAGGCACACGCCACCACACCUGGCUAAUUUUUGUAUUUUUAGUAGAGAUGGGGUUUCACCAUGUUGGCCAGUCUAGUCCUGAACUCUUGACAGGUGGUCCACCCACCUCGGCCUCUCAAAGUGUUGGGAUUAUAGGUGUGAGCCACAGCGCUGGGCCUCCAAAUUCAUUCCUUUUUUUUUUUU